CCUACGGGAGGCAGCAGUGGGGAAUUUUGCGCAAUGCUCGUAAGAGUGACGCAGCGACGCCGCGUGAAUGACGAAGGCCUUCGGGUCGUAAAGUUCUUUCGACAGGGAAGAAAAUGCCUAUAAGUAACUGUGUAUGUAUUGACGGUACCUGUAUAAGCAGCCCCGGCUAACUCCGUGCCAGCAGCCGCGGUAAUACGGAGGGGGCGAGCGUUGUUCGGAGGGACUGGGCGUAAAGAGCACGUAAGCGGUGUUGUAAGUCAUUAGUCAAAGACUAGAGCUCAACUUUAGUAAGGCUAGUGAUACUAUAAUACUAGAGUAUCAGAGAGGAUUGCAGAAUUCCUGGUGUAGCGGUGAAAUGCGUAGAUAUCAGGAGGAAUACCGUUAGCGAAGGCGGCAAUCUGGCUGGAAACUGACGCUGAGGUGCGAAAGCGUGGGUAGCAAACAGGAUUAGAUACCCUUGUAGUC
This 465-nucleotide ribosomal RNA is filed under the name uncultured bacterium. RNAcentral describes it as "partial 16S ribosomal RNA". It matches the Rfam family "Bacterial small subunit ribosomal RNA", at positions 338 to 795 of the family's 1533-position model. The record is from RNAcentral.